This 274-nucleotide ribosomal RNA is filed under the name uncultured bacterium. RNAcentral's name for it is "partial 16S ribosomal RNA". It matches the Rfam family "Bacterial small subunit ribosomal RNA", at positions 523 to 796 of the family's 1533-position model. The record is from RNAcentral.
AUACGAAGGGGGCAAGCGUUGUUCGGAAUAACUGGGCGUAAAGCGCACGUAGGCGGAAUGUUAAGUUAGAGGUGAAAUCCCAGGGCUCAACCCUGGAACGGCCUUUAAUACUGGCAAUCUAGAGACCGAGAGAGGUGAGUGGAAUUCCGAGUGUAGAGGUGAAAUUCGUAGAUAUUCGGAGGAACACCAGUGGCGAAGGCGGCUCACUGGCCCGAUACUGACGCUGAGGCGCGAAAGCGUGGGGAGCAAACAGGAUUAGAAACCCUAGUAGUCC